Molecule: long non-coding RNA, 1568 nt
Organism: Scylla paramamosain (green mud crab)
Lineage: Eukaryota; Metazoa; Arthropoda; Malacostraca; Decapoda; Portunidae
Exons: 4
Source: RefSeq, a predicted model, not a curated record
UGUAAUAUGUGUAAGUAUCAGUAUUCAAUGCUAUAUUAAGCACCGAAGCCGAUGCUCACUUGUUGGUAGUGUGGGGUUAACCCGCUGGUCGCCUGCGGGCAUCACUCACGGCCAAGUCGCGCUCAGACAAAGACGGGCAAGAUGGUGGCCAAGGUAAAUACUUUAAUUUUGUAGUAAAAACUGAUUGUCAUUGUGCCAAGUUAAUUGCAUGUAUUGUUAAUGAAUAUUGUAAUAUGUUGAAAGUGUUUUAUAUCAGUGUAUAAUGUUAUUUUGUAAGAAAUUGAGACUGAGAACUUGUUCGCAGUUCUUACGGUCAUGCCUACCUCAUCAAUAAACGUGUCAGGGAGAACUGCCUUUCCUCGACCCUACGAUGAUGGGUGUGAUCAGUAAAACAGAUCACCUGAGAGCCAAUUGAUGCCCAGCCGGUGCGGCUACAGUAACCAUUUAUCUUAAAUUAACAUUAUGUACCUUAAAACCAAUAUUAGCACAUAAUAAAUAUUUUGUUACACUUGUGGUCUGAGAUGUUGCGAGGAAUUGGUAUAUAAAGGCUGCUGGAAAAAACUCACAAACAUUUUUCAUAUUUUCAUUAAUAACUAAUAAUUAUUUCUUAUGAGUCAAAAUUUCUUACUCGCAUUCAUCAAGUAAUUCAAAGUUAUUAGGUGUCACUUUAUAUCUCUUCAACAUAUUCACUGAUCAACAUAAUCAUCAUGCAAAACACAGACAAUAUUAAAUGCAUAAACCCAAGAAAUAUUCAAUUGGCACCAUUAAUGUUCAGUUAGAAAAACACACAUUAUACCAGCAUCAGAUCAAUUACUAUAAACAUUCACAUUGCUCAUUGAUGCAUGUGAUCUGCCCACAGGUAUGGUGCUUGAUACGGAAGCCAGACAGAGGGUAGAGGCAGUUUGGAGAUAGAGUGUGAGAUAUGUAAAAUGUUAUGAAAAUAAAGAAAUAGGAAAGGAAAUAGGCAGUCCCAAACAAUUGUAUAUCAUAACAUGUAACAAUGGAAUAAUUCAGUAGCAGAGAGUAGCAGACACAGAAGCAGAGAGGGCCUGACCAGAGAGGGGUCGAGAUGGAUGGAAUUGCUGAAAAAGGUGGACAGAAUAGGGGUGAGAGGAAGAAGAAAGGCUUGUGCAGCGAGGCCGCAGGAGGAGGGGAGGUAUGCAGUUAGCAAGAUCAGAAGAGCAGUUAGCAUGAAAAUAGCAGUAGAAGAUAGCUAGAGAUGCAACAUUGCGGCGAUGAGAAAGAGGCUGAAGACAGUCAGUUAGAGGAAACGAGUUGAUGAGACGAAAAGCUGGGAUUGCUAGGAGCUGUAUGCCUUUCAGCCCUUUCUGCUGGUCAGGCAUAAGUCAGAGUGGGAACUAGGGAGAGAAAAGCAGGGGAUGAUGGCUACUGUGAGAUUGAGUUGCCACUACCUGGGAUCAGCCUCCCUACACUGUCAUGUCUACACAGUGUAGUGCAGAGCUAGAUUCACCUUCACAGGGUCCUUCUGGCCUCCUGUAGUGAAUUACACAAAUGAAGUUGCUGGCCUGUUUCACCCACCUACAGGCAAGGGAAUAUUACUACUGCCA